RNAcentral lists this ribosomal RNA (306 nucleotides) under uncultured soil bacterium. RNAcentral describes it as "bacterial SSU rRNA". It matches the Rfam family "Bacterial small subunit ribosomal RNA", at positions 26 to 352 of the family's 1533-position model. The record is from RNAcentral.
AGAGCGAACGCUGGCGGCAGGCCUAAUACAUGCAAGUCGAGCGCUCGUAGCAAUACGGGAGCGGCAGACGGGUGAGUAACACGUGGGAACGUACCCUUUGGUUCGGAACAACACAGGGAAACUUGUGCUAAUACCGGAUAAGCCCGUUACGGGGAAAGAUUUAUCGCCGAAGGAUCGGCCCGCGUCUGAUUAGCUUGUUGGUGAGGUAACGGCUCACCAAGGCGACGAUCAGUAGCUGGUCUGAGAGGAUGAUCAGCCACACGUGGACUAGAGACCGACGGCCCAGACCUCCGUACGGGAGCAGAC